RNAcentral lists this long non-coding RNA (624 nucleotides) under Hordeum vulgare. Its description in RNAcentral is "long non-coding RNA (HVUL_LNC018048)". The record is from RNAcentral. Lineage: Eukaryota; Viridiplantae; Streptophyta; Magnoliopsida; Poales; Poaceae.
GCCCGGGCGGUGGCGAUGCCCGUGCUCAUCCGCCCACGAAUGAGCAACGGCGCAUCACCAAAGAGAUAUGAUACGGUACUAGAUACUUCUACACAUUGCAAAUACUCAAUGUUGAGAUGAUGUCCACGUCCAAAAUACUUAAUGCGGCCACUUGCGAGCUGCAAGUGGACGACCAGGACCUUGAGCUGAGCAAACAACAACGAAACACACAUUAUUUCUUUCCCCGUCACGUAUAGCUAUCUUCCACCCGUUGGCACUCCAUAUUUGUUACUCCUCCCGUUGCCAGGCGCUGGCCCUAGCAUGCGCACGUGACCGACGCCCUCCAGCCCGUUGGCCGGCUGGUCGUAGUCCGCCACUAUCAUGCCGUCCUUCGUCCGUAUUCAUGACACGAUGAAGACGAUGCGGGAGUCAUGGAGAAUGCGACUCGGUUAAGACUUAUAGAGUGUGAGCAAAUUGUAACCCACAAUUAGAUGCACGCCAUUCAUGUUUAACUUUCGGACACUCUUCCCAUACCUAUCACUCCUAUCCAAUGGUUAGGCUGUCGAGAUAGCAAGCCAGAAAGUGAAAUAGAAGAACAACAAACCUAGCAUUGUCGCUUACUUCUUCAACUCUUGAAAAGUGACA